AUCUGGCUCAGUGACACAGACAAAUUUCUGCUUGCUCUUCUGGAGUUCCACCUGCAACAGGGAGAUGAUCAAAGUAUCGAAAGUCUGGCCUGAGCUGGGAAAUUCAGUAAUGGAGACUCAAUGAUUUGUUCAGUAGAAACCAGACUGUAUUCAGGUCUCCUCUGAGAUUAGAUGGCAAUGGCUACGGAAAGGAGCAGAGUUGGAAAAUGCUGUCCUUUGUAGCAGUUACUAAGGCAAGGCUCUUGUUUGUGUCCUGAACCCACCAUAUUCCAAGUCAAUAAGGUAACAAGCCAAAUCCAGUUGUUCAUCUCUAUACUUGUGUGCAUGUG
This 329-nucleotide long non-coding RNA is filed under the name Cyanistes caeruleus (blue tit). RNAcentral's name for it is "lncRNA (ENSCCEG00000020299.1)". The record is from RNAcentral. Lineage: Eukaryota; Metazoa; Chordata; Aves; Passeriformes; Paridae.